GAGUGCCGCCGGAGAGCCGCGCGCCGCGGCCCCAUGAGCGGCGGUUCCCCGGCCAUA
Pyrobaculum aerophilum str. IM2 is the source of this 57-nucleotide small nucleolar RNA. It matches the Rfam family "Pyrobaculum sRNA 204". From Rfam's summary of the family: Non canonical pseudouridylation guide sRNA features. Predicted to target 23S U2023 in Pyrobaculum. Lineage: Archaea; Thermoproteati; Thermoproteota; Thermoprotei; Thermoproteales; Thermoproteaceae. The record is from Rfam.